AGGAUGAACGCUGGCGGUCUGCUUAACACAUGCAAGUCGAACGGGCGUAGCAAUACGUUAGUGGCGGACGGGUGAGUAACGCGUGAGAAUCUACCUUCAGGACGGAGACAACAGUUGGAAACGACUGCUAACCCCCGAUGUACUGAAAAAGGCAAAUAUUUAUAGCCUGAAGAAGAGCUCGCGUCCGAUUAGCUAGUUGGAGAGGUAAAAGCUCACCAAGGCGACGAUCGGUAGCUGGUCUGAGAGGACGAUCAGCCACACUGGGACUGAGACACGGCCCAGACUCCUACGGGAGGCAGCAGUGGGGAAUUUUCCGCAAUGGGCGAAAGCCUGACGGAGCAAGACCGCGUGGGGGAAGAAGGCUCUUGGGUUGUAAACCCCUUUUCUCUGGGAAGAAAGUUGUGAAAGCAGCCUGACGGUACCAGAGGAAUCAGCAUCGGCUAACUCCGUGCCAGCAGCCGC
RNAcentral lists this ribosomal RNA (462 nucleotides) under uncultured bacterium. RNAcentral describes it as "SSU rRNA". It matches the Rfam family "Bacterial small subunit ribosomal RNA", at positions 26 to 518 of the family's 1533-position model. The record is from RNAcentral.